GAUCCUGGCUCAGGAUGAACGCUAGCUACAGGCUUAACACAUGCAAGUCGAGGGGCAGCAUGGUCUUAGCUUGCUAAGGCCGAUGGCGACCGGCGCACGGGUGAGUAACACGUAUCCAACCUGCCGUCUACUCUUGGACAGCCUUCUGAAAGGAAGUUUAAUACCCGAUGAAUUCGUUUAGUCGCAUGGCUUGAUGAAGAAAGAUUUAUCAGUAAAGGAUGGGGAUGCGUCCCA
Molecule: ribosomal RNA, 234 nt
Filed under: uncultured bacterium
Lineage: Bacteria
Description: partial 16S ribosomal RNA
Rfam family: Bacterial small subunit ribosomal RNA
Source: RNAcentral